RNAcentral lists this ribosomal RNA (460 nucleotides) under uncultured bacterium. RNAcentral describes it as "partial 16S ribosomal RNA". It matches the Rfam family "Bacterial small subunit ribosomal RNA", at positions 338 to 795 of the family's 1533-position model. The record is from RNAcentral.
CCUACGGGUGGCAGCAGUGAGGAAUAUUGGUCAAUGGCCGUAAGGCUGAACCAGCCAAGUAGCUUGAGGUCCUCCUUCCCUCUUUUUUUUCCCCCUCUUUUCUUCUUUUCUCCCUUUUUCCACGUGUGGAUGUUUGCAGGUACCGCAUGAAUAAGGACCUGCUAAUUCCUUGCCAGCCGCCUCUGUAAUACGGCCGUUCCGGGCGUUAUCCGGAUUUAUUGGGUUUAAAGGGAGCGUAGGCCGGUCUUUAAGCGUGCCGUGAAAUUUUGGGGAUCAACCAUGAGAGUGAGGAGAGAAAGGGAGACCUUGAGUGCGCGGAAGGCAGGCGGAAUUCGUGGGGUAGCGGUGAAAUGCUUAGAUAUAAAGAAGAACCCCGAUUGCGAAGGCAGCCUGCAGCAGCGUUAAUGAAGCUGAAGCUCGAAAGAGAGGGGAGAGAAAAGGAGGAGAGAAAAAGGGAGGC